GUGCCAGCCGCCGCGGUAAUACGGAAGGUCCGGGCGUUAUCCGGAUUUAUUGGGUUUAAAGGGAGCGCAGGCGGGUUGUUAAGCGUGACGUGAAAUGUAGCCGCUCAACGGCUGAACUGCGUCGCGAACUGGCAGUCUUGAGUGAGUACGACGUCAGCGGAAUUCGUGGUGUAGCGGUGAAAUGCUUAGAUAUCACGAAGAACCCCGAUUGCGAAGGCAGCUGACGAGUCCUUUACUGACGCUAAAGCUCGAAGGUGCGGGUAUCGAACAGGAUUAGAUACCCUGGUAGUCCGCACGGUAAACGAUGGAUGCCCGCUGUAUGCGAUAUAUUGUAUGCGGCCAAGCGAAAGCGUUAAGCAUCCCACCUGGGGAGUACGCCGGCAACGGUGAAACUCAAAGGAAUUGACGGGGGCCCGCACAAGCGGAGGAACAUGUGGUUUAAUUCGAUGAUACGCGAGGAACCUUACCCGGGCUUGAACUGCAGCUGAACGAUUCAGAGAUGAUGAGGCCCUUCGGGGCAGCUGUGGAGGUGCUGCAUGGUUGUCGUCAGCUCGUGCCGUGAGGUGUCGGCUUAAGUGCCAUAACGAGCGCAACCCUUUUCGCCAGUUGCCAUCAGGUGAUGCUGGGCACUCUGGGGACACUGCCACCGUAAGGUGUGAGGAAGGUGGGGAUGACGUCAAAUCAGCACGGCCCUUACGUCCGGGGCUACACACGUGUUACAAUGGGGAGUACAGAGCGUCGGUGCAUGGCAAUAUGCAUCCAAUCCUUAAAGCUCUCCUCAGUUCGGAUUGGGGUCUGCAACCCGACCCCAUGAAGCUGGAUUCGCUAGUAAUCGCGCAUCAGCCAUGGCGCGGUGAAUACGUUCCCGGGCCUUGUACACACCGCCCGU
RNAcentral lists this ribosomal RNA (889 nucleotides) under uncultured bacterium. RNAcentral describes it as "bacterial SSU rRNA". It matches the Rfam family "Bacterial small subunit ribosomal RNA", at positions 505 to 1397 of the family's 1533-position model. The record is from RNAcentral.